GGAUAGCUCAGUUAGAGCAUGGUGCUGAUGAUGCUAAGGUUGCAGGUUCAAUCCCUGUGUGGGAUA
RNAcentral lists this transfer RNA (66 nucleotides) under Podarcis lilfordi (Lilford's wall lizard). RNAcentral describes it as "tRNA.Ile". The stretch from base 4 to 58 matches the Rfam family "tRNA", at positions 8 to 63 of the family's 71-position model. Rfam says of the family: Transfer RNA (tRNA) molecules are approximately 80 nucleotides in length. Their secondary structure includes four short double-helical elements and three loops (D, anti-codon, and T loops). Further hydrogen bonds mediate the characteristic L-shaped molecular structure. tRNAs have two regions of fundamental functional importance: the anti-codon, which is responsible for specific mRNA codon recognition, and the 3' end, to which the tRNAs corresponding amino acid is attached (by aminoacyl-tRNA synthetases). tRNAs cope with the degeneracy of the genetic code in two manners: having more than one tRNA (with a specific anti-codon) for a particular amino acid; and 'wobble' base-pairing, i.e. permitting non-standard base-pairing at the 3rd anti-codon position. The record is from RNAcentral. Lineage: Eukaryota; Metazoa; Chordata; Lepidosauria; Squamata; Lacertidae.